Non-coding RNA from Acanthosepion pharaonis, 114 nucleotides. NCBI's taxonomy places the organism in Eukaryota, Metazoa, Mollusca, Cephalopoda, Sepiida, Sepiidae. The record is from the annotation of a GenBank genome assembly.
UACACCCAUAUCACGUUGAAACACAGGUUCCCAUAUGAUCACCGAAGUUAAGCAACGUGGAGCCUGGUUAAUACCUAGAUAGGUGACUGUAUCAGGAGUACCAAGUGUUGUAAG